GACAGAGGAUGCAAGCGUUAUCCGGAAUUAUUGGGCGUAAAGAGCUCGUAGGCGGUCUGUCGCGUCUGCUGUGAAAACCCGAGGCUCAACCUCGGGCCUGCAGUGGGUACGGGCAGACUAGAGUGCGGUAGGGGAGAUUGGAAUUCCUGGUGUAGCGGUGGAAUGCGCAGAUAUCAGGAGGAACACCGAUGGCGAAGGCAGAUCUCUGGGCCGUAACUGACGCUGAGGAGCGAAAGCGUGGGGAGCGAAC
This 250-nucleotide ribosomal RNA is filed under the name uncultured bacterium. RNAcentral's name for it is "partial 16S ribosomal RNA". It matches the Rfam family "Bacterial small subunit ribosomal RNA", at positions 524 to 773 of the family's 1533-position model. The record is from RNAcentral.